This 235-nucleotide ribosomal RNA is filed under the name uncultured Candidatus Saccharibacteria bacterium. RNAcentral describes it as "partial 16S ribosomal RNA". It matches the Rfam family "Bacterial small subunit ribosomal RNA", at positions 584 to 818 of the family's 1533-position model. The record is from RNAcentral. Lineage: Bacteria; Candidatus Saccharimonadota.
UAAGUCAGAUGUGAAAUUACGAGGCUCAACCUCGUGGCUAUGUCUGAAACUAAGUUGCUAGAGUGUAUGAGAGGUAGCUGGAAUUUCUGGUGUAGGAGUGAAAUCCGUAGAUAUCAGGAGGAACACCAAUGGCGUAGGCAGGCUACUGGCAUAUUACUGACACUGAGGCACGAAAGCGUGGGGAGCGAACGGGAUUAGAUACCCCGGUAGUCCACGCCGUAAACGAUGAAUGCUA